GCCACUGAUUUUGCUUGGUCCUGGAGAGCAAUCCGGGUCAGGCCUGGUUAGUAUCUGGAUGGGAGACCACUGGUAAUGCCAAGUGUCAGGGCU
This 93-nucleotide ribosomal RNA is filed under the name Salvator merianae (Argentine black and white tegu). The record is from RNAcentral. Lineage: Eukaryota; Metazoa; Chordata; Lepidosauria; Squamata; Teiidae.